UUUGCUCUGGGUGAUGCAAGGGAUCUGAAUGAUGYAGAGAAACAAAUUAUGGAGAACCUGAUACGCAACCUGCCAAUCUAGUCUGAGGAGAUGGGAGCGAAGGAGAAGCAGGGACUACAAACCAGGAGUUCAUCAUGCCCACCUGGUUGGCAUAGUUAUU
Molecule: non-coding RNA, 160 nt
Organism: Salvelinus sp. IW2-2015
Lineage: Eukaryota; Metazoa; Chordata; Actinopteri; Salmoniformes; Salmonidae
Source: RefSeq, a predicted model, not a curated record